GUACCGCAUGUUUCGACGCCAUAUUUAUUUGCGAGUCAGAACGAAUUUGUUUCAGUCGAGAUUAAUGCUGCAGGUGGAAAUUUCGCUUUAUUGGAUAUUCAGAUUUCCAGGACAAAUAUAAAAAAAUGUAUCAUCACACUCGCUACUGCUAUCUCCAAUAUGUGUUGUGCCGAUUUUAUGGAACUCGAACUAUAAUAAGACAUCAGAUAUAAUAAAACGAAUGAGGUUCCCUGCGGCCAUCUUUGUGACAGCUUCCCGGGCGAUAAUGGAAUUGAGCUAGUGCUACAGCGAUGAGACAGCAGCAAACAUAUGUUGUACAGUUUUCUGACUCUAAAAAACUGUAAUAAAUA
Long non-coding RNA from Armigeres subalbatus, 350 nucleotides. RefSeq lists it as uncharacterized. Lineage: Eukaryota; Metazoa; Arthropoda; Insecta; Diptera; Culicidae. The record is from RefSeq and is a predicted model, not a curated record. The transcript is spliced from 3 exons.